ACUCCCUGAUUGGCUCUGCACUGGAGGCAGUGAUUUUGGGGCAGAGAAUUUUGCAACACGUGGUAGUGAACUGUGAGGAGUUUGAGGGGUCUGAAGACUGAAGGAGUCGAAUGGUUUGUUGGCAGGACCUAGAAGAAUCCCUUAGGAUGAAGCUGAGUCUUACCAAGGUAGUUAAUGGCUGUCGCCUAGGAAAAAUAAAAAACCUGGGCAAAACAGGGGACCACACCAUGGAUAUUCCAGGCUGCCUUCUGUAUACCAAGACUGGCUCCGCCCCACACCUCACCCAUCACACGCUGCAUAAUAUCCACAGGGUUCCUGCCAUGGCUCAGCUUACGCUGUCAUCCCUAGCAGAACAUCAUGAAGUCUUGACAGAAUAUAAAGAAGGAGUUGGAAAGUUUAUAGUCUGUGUCUGUGUGGAGUGUUGCAGGACGAGUGGAAAUGACUGUUUCCAAGUUCAUGGCAAUUCAGAAGGCCCUUCAGCCAGACUGGUUCCAGUGCCUCUCCGAUGGAGAAGUAUCUUGUAAGGAAGCAACUUCCAUAAAAAGGGUCAGAAAGUCUGUUGACCGAUCACUUCUUUUCUUGG
Molecule: small RNA, 583 nt
Filed under: Pan troglodytes (chimpanzee)
Lineage: Eukaryota; Metazoa; Chordata; Mammalia; Primates; Hominidae
Description: processed transcript
Source: RNAcentral